This 460-nucleotide ribosomal RNA is filed under the name uncultured bacterium. Its description in RNAcentral is "partial 16S ribosomal RNA". It matches the Rfam family "Bacterial small subunit ribosomal RNA", at positions 338 to 795 of the family's 1533-position model. The record is from RNAcentral.
CCUACGGGUGGCAGCAGUGAGGAAUAUUGGUCAAUGGACGAGAGUCUGAACCAGCCAAGUAGCGUGAAGGAUGACUGCCCUAUGGGUUGUAAACUUCUUUUAUAAAGGAAUAAAACGAGGCACGUGUGCCUUUUUGCAUGUACUUUAUGAAUAAGGAUCGGCCAACUCCGUGCCAGCAGCCGCGGUAAUACGGAGGAUUCGAGCGUUAUCCGGGUUUAUUUGGUUUAAAGGGAGCGUAGGGGGGUUGUUAAGUCCGUUGUGAAAGUUUGCGGCUCAACCGUAAAAUUGCAAUUGAUACUGGCAGUCUUGAGUACAGUUGAGGUAGGCGGAAUUCGUGGUGUAGCGGUGAAAUGCUUAGAUAUCACGAAGAACCCCGAUUGCGAAGGCAGCUUACUAAACUGUGACUGACAUUGAUGCUCGAAAGUGUGGGUAUCAAACAGGAUUAGAUACCCGAGUAGUC